Molecule: ribosomal RNA, 234 nt
Filed under: uncultured Glomeromycotina
Lineage: Eukaryota; Fungi; Glomeromycota
Description: partial 18S rRNA
Rfam family: Eukaryotic small subunit ribosomal RNA
Source: RNAcentral
UUGGAGGGCAAGUCUGGUGCCAGCAGCCGCGGUAAUUCCAGCUCCAAUAGCGUAUAUUAAAGUUGUUGCAGUUAAAAAGCUCGUAGUUGAAUUUCGAGAUCAAUUUGUUGGUCGUGCCUCGGUACGUACUGGCAAUUUUGAUUUCUCCCUUCUGAAGAACCAUGAUGUCAUUAAUUUGGUGUCAUGGGGAAUCAGGACCGUUACUUUGAAAAAAUUAGAGUGUUUAAAGCAGGC